GACGAACGCUGGCGGCGUGCCUAAUACAUGCAAGUAGAACGCUGAAGGAGGAGCUUGCUUCUCUGGAUGAGUUGCGAACGGGUGAGUAACGCGUAGGUAACCUGCCUGGUAGCGGGGGAUAACUAUUGGAAACGAUAGCUAAUACCGCAUAAUAGCAGUUGUUGCAUGACAACUGUUUGAAAGGUGCAAUUGCACCACUACCAGAUGGACCUGCGUUGUAUUAGCUAGUUGGUGGGGUAACGGCUCACCAAGGCGACGAUACAUGUCCGACCUGCGAGGGGGAUCGGCCACACUGGGACUGAGACACGGCCCAGACUCCUACGGGAGGCAGCAGUAGGGAAUCUUCGGCAAUGGACGGAAGUCUGACCGAGCAACGCCGCGUGAGUGAAGAAGGUUGUCGGAUCGUAAAGCUCUGUUGUAAGAGAAGAACGAGUGUGAGAGUGGAAAGUUCACACUGUGACGGUAUCUUACCAGAAAGGGACGGCUAACUACGUG
Molecule: ribosomal RNA, 495 nt
Filed under: uncultured bacterium
Lineage: Bacteria
Description: partial 16S ribosomal RNA
Rfam family: Bacterial small subunit ribosomal RNA
Source: RNAcentral